This 274-nucleotide ribosomal RNA is filed under the name uncultured bacterium. RNAcentral's name for it is "partial 16S ribosomal RNA". It matches the Rfam family "Bacterial small subunit ribosomal RNA", at positions 523 to 796 of the family's 1533-position model. The record is from RNAcentral.
AUACGGAGGGUGCAAGCGUUACUCGGAAUCACUGGGCGUAAAGGGUGUGUAGGCGGUGUAUUAAGUCAGUGGUGAAAGCCUGCGGCUCAACCGUAGAACUGCCAUUGAUACUGACACACUUGAGUUUGGUUGAGGUAGGCGGAAUUUAUGGUGUAGCGGUGAAAUGCAUAGAUACCAUAAAGAACACCGAUAGCGAAGGCAGCUUACUAAGCCGAAACUGACGCUGAGGCACGAAAGCGUGGGGAGCGAACAGGAUUAGAUACCCCAGUAGUCC